CUUGAUUUAACUAUCCUCAGGUUGGUCCAUCAGCUUCACCAUGCGGAGUAGUCCACGCUUGGGGUCGACUUGACUCAAGUUCUCCGCAUCUCAUGGUUAAUCAACGUACCUAAAUGAUUUGCAUAAUGCACAUGAAUGCAUAUAAACAAGAAUAUCACAAACCUAAAUAAGGCUACACGACGGUGAAAUAAACACCUAGCGGCGAGGCGUUGUACUAUUUCCUACGGAAACACUAGUUAUCGACAUACGACUACGCUCAAUUAUCAUACUUUUCUAGUGUAAUCGUAUCUACUUCAAAUAUCAAAGCGAUAAUAAACUAAACACAAGUCCUAUAUCAAAACACCCAUCGAGUCACUAACACUUUACUUCUGGCCCCUUCUAUGUUUCUUGCCUUUACAAAUUGAGUCCCCGACGUCGCCGGCAGCGCGAACGCGUUCCCCCCGCGAUCCUACGGCGGAGGAGAGCCCGAGCAGUCAUCGGACAACGGCCAGAUCAAAUCUUAACAUAAUCCAAACAAUUACGGGCAUGGAUUUGGCUCACAAAUUCCCAGAGCGACUUGACCGCGCCCACGACGGAAUCCAAGUUCGUGGUAUAUGCCGGGCCAAUUUGAGUGUCGGACACAUCAAAUUAAGGGCACGGGGAGUACGAGCAAGACACGGUCGACGCGAUGCUUACGAUCGACAUCGAACCGACAGAGUUUUGGUGGGUUGACAUCAGAGCAGUUCAUGCGGCAUUAAACCCGCGUUCCGAUCAAACUAGGAUUGUAAAUAUCAACCGGACUUUUUGGUGAGCUUCACCAAUCUAUAGGGACGCUAGAACAUGAAGUCUUAAGGAUUGAGCCAUACCGUAGAUGCCCAGCCACAUGAGGUCGAGGUGUUGGCGAGGGGAUCAUCAGCCACGCUCAAUAUCUUGAUCAAUGAAACUGGGCGCGACCAGGGUAUAAUUUGGGGGAAGGGAGAGCAACCCUGUUAGCUGAAGUUAUAUCCUGUGGUUGAUGGUCGAGGCAAGGAUCACGGCUUGCUCCUGCUUUCCUUUCCCCCCCCCCGGUUGCUCUUAUAUAGCCAAGGAAAAGAUCAAGGGACUGGAUUCUUGAGUUUACAGGGGGGGAUAACUAUAUGCAUGGGGUGCAGUCGUGGCUUACCCAAGGAAGCCCACGCCGGUGCUGCAGGGU
Molecule: long non-coding RNA, 1171 nt
Filed under: Zea mays
Lineage: Eukaryota; Viridiplantae; Streptophyta; Magnoliopsida; Poales; Poaceae
Description: long non-coding RNA (ZMAY_LNC000987)
Source: RNAcentral